UAUGCAGUGAAAUAUCGAUAAUAUGGUAUCGAUCCGCCCGUGCCGAGUGUGUACUUCCGUUUUGUACUGUCAUGGCUGCACCCUGUUCGCGUUAGGUCAAGCUAGCUGAACACAUUUGCCUUCCACAACGCUGCUCUUUCGAGUGCAGGAAUGACGUUGAAAGAUGCUAGGAAGUGGAACCGAUCUGUAUCUACGGUUUACGUCCUGGGUGUGUGGACAAUGAUCGGCUCCGUUGCAUAUUUGUAUUACACGGGUCGUUUCAAAAAUAGCACAGACUCGGCUCAAAAUGAAGAGGCAACAACCGGAGUACCGAAGAAUCCAAAUGAAUUUAUAUACCAGACUCCUCACAACAAAACUAUCGUCGUCUACAAAAAAGACUUUGUUCCAUACACCACAAGGAUCUACAAUUUCGUUCAGUCAUUCACCGGUGGUCCUGGGACUGCAGACAAAUGAAAUUAAAAAUGGACAAUGUGGAUUAGUAUGGAGGGCACACUAUGAUGCCGUACAAAUCAAUACAUAUGUGUGAGGGUGAACUCCAGUCAACUAAGUACAACUCCAAGAAAGCUACCAUCUGCUUUUGGGUUGUCAUGUCAUGUGCUAAAAAAGGCAAUAUUAUUUUCUAUACCUUGGUUCACAGUUGUGAAAUAAAUUGUGUUCAAAUAUACAUUA
Long non-coding RNA from Hippocampus comes (tiger tail seahorse), 669 nucleotides. RefSeq lists it as uncharacterized. The transcript has 2 exons. Lineage: Eukaryota; Metazoa; Chordata; Actinopteri; Syngnathiformes; Syngnathidae. The record is from RefSeq and is a predicted model, not a curated record.